This 773-nucleotide ribosomal RNA is filed under the name uncultured bacterium. RNAcentral describes it as "bacterial SSU rRNA". It matches the Rfam family "Bacterial small subunit ribosomal RNA", at positions 8 to 771 of the family's 1533-position model. The record is from RNAcentral.
AGAGUUUGAUUAUGGCUCAGAACAAACGCUGGCGGCGUGUCUUAAGCAUGCAAGUCGAGCGGCAGGCGCAGCAAUGCGCUGAGAGCGGCGGACUGGUGAGUAACGCGUGGGUAAUCUACCUUUGGCAUGGGGAUAGCCACUAGAAAUAGUGGGUAAUACCGAAUACGUUCCCUGGGGGGAGGUUUCAGGGAAGAAAGGGUGCUACGGCACCGGCCGGAGAUGAGCUCGCGUCCCAUUAGCUUGUUGGUGAGGUAACGGCCCACCAAGGCGAUGAUGGGUAGCCGGCCUGAGAGGGUGUACGGCCACACUGGGACUGAGAUACGGCCCAGACUCCUACGGGAGGCAGCAGCUAAGAAUAUUCCGCAAUGGACGAAAGUCUGACGGAGCGACGCCGCGUGGAUGAUGAAGGCCGAAAGGUUGUAAAGUCCUUUUGCUGGGGAAGAAUAAGUGUGGGAGGGAAUGCCCGCAUGAUGACAUGAACCGGCGAAUAAGCCCCGGCCAACUACGUGCCAGCAGCCGCGGUAACACGUAGGGGGCGAGCGUUGUUCGGAAUUACUGGGCGUAAAGGGCAUGUAGGCGGUCUGGUAAGCCUGGCGUGAAAGGCCACAGCUCAACUGUGGGAUUGCGUUGGGAACUGCUGGGCUUGAGUUAUGGAGAGGGAGCUAGAAUUCCUGGUGUAGGGGUGAAAUCUGUAGAUAUCAGGAAGAAUACCGAUGGCGAAGGCAAGCUCCUGGCCGAUGACUGACGCUGAGGUGCGAAAGUGUGGGGGAUCA